CCUACGGGUGGCAGCAGUGGGGAAUCUUGCACAAUGGGGGAAACCCUGAUGCAGCGACGCCGCGUGAGUGAAGAAGUAAUUCGUUAUGUAAAGCUCUAUCAGCAGGGAAGAAAAUGACGGUACCUGAGUAAGAAGCCUCUGCUAACUACUUGUCAGCAGCCGCGGUAAUACUUAGUGGGCAAGCGUUGGCCGGAUUUACUGGGUGUAACGGGAGCGUAGACGGCAGUGCAAGUCUGGAGUGAAAGGCGGGGGCUCAACCUGCGGACUGCACUAGAAACUGUAUGGCUUGAGUGCAGGAGAGGUAAGUGGAAUUCCUAGUGUAGCGGUGAAAUGCGUAGAUAUUAGGAGGAACACCAGUGGCGAAGGCGGCUUACUGGACUGUAACUGACGUUGAGGCUCGAAAGCAUGGGGAGCAAACAGGAUUAGAUACCCUGGUAGUC
RNAcentral lists this ribosomal RNA (440 nucleotides) under uncultured bacterium. RNAcentral describes it as "partial 16S ribosomal RNA". It matches the Rfam family "Bacterial small subunit ribosomal RNA", at positions 338 to 795 of the family's 1533-position model. The record is from RNAcentral.